UACGUAGGGGGCAAGCGUUAUCCGGAUUUACUAGGUGUAAAGGGAGCAUAGACGGCGAUGCAAGUCUGAAGUGAAAGGCGGGGGCCCAACCCCCGGACUGCUUUGGAAACUGUAUAGCUGGAGUGCAGGAGAGGUAAGUGGAAUUCCUAGUGUAGCGGUGAAAUGCGUAGAUAUUAGGAGGAACACCAGUGGCGAAGGCGGCUUACUGGACUGUAACUGACGUUGAGGCUCGAAAGCGUGGGGAGCAAACAGG
Molecule: ribosomal RNA, 253 nt
Filed under: uncultured bacterium
Lineage: Bacteria
Description: partial 16S ribosomal RNA
Rfam family: Bacterial small subunit ribosomal RNA
Source: RNAcentral